Molecule: ribosomal RNA, 301 nt
Filed under: Escherichia coli
Lineage: Bacteria; Pseudomonadati; Pseudomonadota; Gammaproteobacteria; Enterobacterales; Enterobacteriaceae
Description: partial 23S ribosomal RNA
Rfam family: Bacterial large subunit ribosomal RNA
Source: RNAcentral
CUGUGAGGCAUGCUGGAGGUAUCAGAAGUGCGAAUGCUGACAUAAGUAACGAUAAAGCGGGUGAAAAGCCCGCUCGCCGGAAGACCAAGGGUUCCUGUCCAACGUUAAUCGGGGCAGGGUGAGUCGACCCCUAAGGCGAGGCCGAAAGGCGUAGUCGAUGGGAAACAGGUUAAUAUUCCUGUACUUGGUGUUACUGCGAAGGGGGGACGGAGAAGGCUAUGUUGGCCGGGCGACGGUUGUCCCGGUUUAAGCGUGUAGGCUGGUUUUCCAGGCAAAUCCGGAAAAUCAAGGCUGAGGCGUG